UGCUGGUUGAGCCCGCUGUGCAGCUGGAGCCCAUCUGGGUGUCUUUAAGUGAUUUGUGGUGCUCAGAGCUGCAGCUGCUUCGUGUACAGCGGCGGCUCUGGGACCACCGUUGUCAGCCGUCACCACCACCGGUCAGGCUGAGAAUCAAGCUGAAGAAAGAGAGAUCAUUUUUCUUAUGGUGCCUCUUGGUGACUGAUGGAUCUCUGCAAGGUGCAGUUCAGCUGGGGCCUGAUGGGAGCUGGAGCACAGAGGACGUGAGGAGAGAAUGGCUCAGCAUCUUCCCUGACCAGGUUUUCAGGUGAGAAAAUGUGUGAAAUAACUGAGGAAAUCUGGGAGCUGCUGUAUGCUCCAGUGGGGAAAAGGUGGCAAAAGGUGAAGGCAGGAUUGGGCUUGUGAACAUACUGUCUCCAGCAGGUCAG
Molecule: long non-coding RNA, 419 nt
Filed under: Gallus gallus (chicken)
Lineage: Eukaryota; Metazoa; Chordata; Aves; Galliformes; Phasianidae
Description: lncRNA (ENSGALG00010012394.1)
Source: RNAcentral